This 130-nucleotide non-coding RNA is filed under the name Arachnia propionica. The record is from RNAcentral. Lineage: Bacteria; Bacillati; Actinomycetota; Actinomycetes; Propionibacteriales; Propionibacteriaceae.
AUGAGAGAGCUUAUCCAGAUUGUGGAACAAUGGGGCCGCUGGAUGCGGAAUGCGGUGAGAAUCCGCAGCGGUCCCGCCACUGUGUACCCCAUGGGGUAAGCCAGGCCAUCGAUCCAGCCAACUGCGACGU